UACGGAAGGGGCAAGCGUUGUUCGGAAUCAUUGGGCGUAAAGGGCGCGUAGGUGGUUCUGUAUGUCUACCGUGAAAGCAUACAGCUCAACUGUAUUUUGUCGGUAGAAACUGCAGGACUUGAGGCUGGGAGGGGCUGGUGGAAUUCCCUGUGUAGCGGUGAAAUGCGUAGAGAUGGGGGGAACACUCGUGGCGAAGGCGGCCAGCUAGACCAGUUCUGACACUGAGGCGCGACAGCGUGGGGAGCAAACAGG
RNAcentral lists this ribosomal RNA (252 nucleotides) under uncultured bacterium. RNAcentral's name for it is "partial 16S ribosomal RNA". It matches the Rfam family "Bacterial small subunit ribosomal RNA", at positions 524 to 776 of the family's 1533-position model. The record is from RNAcentral.